Molecule: ribosomal RNA, 497 nt
Filed under: uncultured bacterium
Lineage: Bacteria
Description: partial 16S ribosomal RNA
Rfam family: Bacterial small subunit ribosomal RNA
Source: RNAcentral
GAUGAACGCUGGCGGCGUGCCUAACACAUGCAAGUCGAGCGGACGGACGAGACGUUUGCUUGUCUGAUGUUAGCGGCGGACGGGUGAGUCACACGAGGAUACCCUACCUAUAAGACUGAGAUCACUUCGGGAAACCGGAGAUAACACCGGAUAAUAUUUUGAACCGCAUGGUUCAUCGGAGAAAGACGGUCUUGCUGUCACUUAUAGAUGGAUCCGCGCUGCAUUAGCUAGUUGGUACGGUAACGGCUUACCAAGGCUACGAUGCGUAGCCGACCUGAGAGGGUGAUCGGCCACACUGGAACUGAGACACGGUCCAGACUCCUACGGUAGGCAGCAGUAGGGAAUCUUCGGCAAUGGGCGAAAGCCUGACGGAGCAACGCCGCGUGAGUGAUGAAGGUCUUCGGAUCGUAAAGCCCUGUUAUUAGGGAAGAACAGAUGUGUAAUUAACUGUGGACAUCUUGACGGUACCGAAUCAGAAAGCCACGGCUAACUACGUG